RNAcentral lists this ribosomal RNA (160 nucleotides) under Planococcaceae bacterium Fresh_NPK(19). RNAcentral describes it as "partial 16S ribosomal RNA". It matches the Rfam family "Bacterial small subunit ribosomal RNA", at positions 355 to 507 of the family's 1533-position model. Lineage: Bacteria; Bacillati; Bacillota; Bacilli; Caryophanales; Caryophanaceae. The record is from RNAcentral.
UAGGGAAUCUUCCACAAUGGACGAAAGUCUGAUGGAGCAACGCCGCGUGAGUGAAGAAGGUUUUCGGAUCGUAAAACUCUGUUGUAAGGGAAGAACACGUACGAGAGUAACUGCUCGUACCUUGACGGUACCUUAUUAGAAAGCCACGGCUAACUACGUG